GGCUGGUCUGAAGGUAGUUAUCUCAGUUGAUUGUUCACAGUCAGUUACAGCUUGAAUUCCUUGUUCUGCUCUUACCCCGUUCUCACUACUCGACUAGCCUAAA
Unclassified non-coding RNA from Chlorocebus sabaeus (green monkey), 103 nucleotides. It matches the Rfam family "Y RNA". Rfam says of the family: Y RNAs are components of the Ro ribonucleoprotein particle (Ro RNP), in association with Ro60 and La proteins. The Y RNAs and Ro60 and La proteins are well conserved, but the function of the Ro RNP is not known. Lineage: Eukaryota; Metazoa; Chordata; Mammalia; Primates; Cercopithecidae. The record is from Ensembl.